Molecule: transfer RNA, 73 nt
Filed under: Verrucomicrobiota bacterium
Lineage: Bacteria; Pseudomonadati; Verrucomicrobiota
Description: tRNA-Ser
Rfam family: tRNA
About the family: Transfer RNA (tRNA) molecules are approximately 80 nucleotides in length. Their secondary structure includes four short double-helical elements and three loops (D, anti-codon, and T loops).
Source: RNAcentral
GAACCCGUAGUUUAACCGGAUAAAACACAGGCCCGCUAAGCUCGAGAUGGGAGUCCGAUUCUCCCCGGGUUCA